RNAcentral lists this transfer RNA (91 nucleotides) under Annulohypoxylon nitens. RNAcentral's name for it is "tRNA-Gln". It matches the Rfam family "tRNA". From Rfam's summary of the family: Transfer RNA (tRNA) molecules are approximately 80 nucleotides in length. The record is from RNAcentral. Lineage: Eukaryota; Fungi; Ascomycota; Sordariomycetes; Xylariales; Hypoxylaceae.
GGCCGCGUAGUGUAGUGGUUAGCACGCAGGAUUUUGAUUGCAAAUUUGCAAAUAAAUUCCUGAGACCUGAGUUCAAUCCUCGGCGGGGCCU